This 240-nucleotide ribosomal RNA is filed under the name uncultured bacterium. RNAcentral describes it as "partial 16S ribosomal RNA". It matches the Rfam family "Bacterial small subunit ribosomal RNA", at positions 15 to 248 of the family's 1533-position model. The record is from RNAcentral.
GAUCCUGGCUCAGGGUGAACGCUGGCGGCGUGCCUAACACAUGCAAGUCGAACGGACUUACAUUGAAGCCUAGCGAUAUGUAAGUUAGUGGCGGACGGGUGAGUAACGCGUGGGUAACCUGCCUUGUACUGGGGGACAACAGUUGGAAACGACUGCUAAUACCGCAUAAGCGCACAGCUUCGCAUGAAGCAGUGUGAAAAACUCCGGUGGUACAAGAUGGACCCGCGUCUGAUUAGCUGG